CAAAAAAGAAAAUCUUGACUUUCUGUGUAACUUCGUCCACCGCUCCCCCCUGAGCUACCAUCAUUAACAUCACCAACAUCUCCCCCCUCGUUCACUUCCUGCAGAGACAAACACUCAGUACAACUUCAUAGCUGCAGGCAUUGGUGAAGAGUUGAUUCCCAUAAAAAUCUGAGUCUCAUCAGUUGUUUGGAACAUGUUUGGUUUUACACCACAGUGUUUUAGGUCAGGUCUUUGCCACCUAGUGCUUGUUUGUAGUAUUUAUGAUAUAUAUUGAUUAUAAUAGUCAUAAGUGUGUUCAAGUAGUACAUAAUCAGCAUACUGUAAAAACAGUUUAGCUUUUGGUAACUUAAAUCGAGUCUUUAUAUCUUCAUAGGAGUCCCGUCUCCAUCUUGCAGCCCCAUGUUCC
Molecule: non-coding RNA, 406 nt
Organism: Xyrichtys novacula (pearly razorfish)
Lineage: Eukaryota; Metazoa; Chordata; Actinopteri; Labriformes; Labridae
Source: the annotation of a GenBank genome assembly